AACGAACGCUGGCGGCAUGCCUAAUACAUGCAAGUCGAACGAGACCUUCGGGUCUAGUGGCGCACGGGUGCGUAACGCGUGGGAAUCUGCCCUUGGGUUCGGAAUAACUCGCCGAAAGGCGUGCUAAUACCGGAUGAUGUCGUAAGACCAAAGAUUUAUCGCCCAGGGAUGAGCCCGCGUAAGAUUAGUUAGUUGGUGAGGCAAUGGCUCACCAAGGCGACGAUCAGUAGCUGGUCCGAGAGGAUGAUCAGCCACACUGGGACUGAGACACGGCCCAG
This 278-nucleotide ribosomal RNA is filed under the name uncultured bacterium. Its description in RNAcentral is "partial 16S ribosomal RNA". It matches the Rfam family "Bacterial small subunit ribosomal RNA", at positions 29 to 334 of the family's 1533-position model. The record is from RNAcentral.